UACGUAGGGUGCGAGCGUUGUCCGGAAUUAUUGGGCGUAAAGGGCUCGUAGGCGGACUGUUAAGUCAGUGGUGAAAGCUCCAUGCCUAACAUGGAAAUUGCCAUUGAUACUGACGGUCUUGAGUACAUUUGAAGUGGGCGGAAUGUGUCAUGUAGCGGUGAAAUGCUUAGAUAUGACACAGAACACCGAUUGCGUAGGCAGCUCGCUAAACUGUAACUGACGCUGAGGCACGAAAGCGUGGGGAGCAAACAGG
RNAcentral lists this ribosomal RNA (253 nucleotides) under uncultured bacterium. RNAcentral's name for it is "partial 16S ribosomal RNA". It matches the Rfam family "Bacterial small subunit ribosomal RNA", at positions 524 to 776 of the family's 1533-position model. The record is from RNAcentral.